RNAcentral lists this ribosomal RNA (590 nucleotides) under Hanseniaspora uvarum. Its description in RNAcentral is "eukaryotic LSU rRNA". It matches the Rfam family "Eukaryotic large subunit ribosomal RNA", at positions 52 to 656 of the family's 3401-position model. Lineage: Eukaryota; Fungi; Ascomycota; Saccharomycetes; Saccharomycodales; Saccharomycodaceae. The record is from RNAcentral.
GGAGGAAAAGAAACCAACUGGGAUUACCUUAGUAACGGCGAGUGAAGCGGUAAAAGCUCAAAUUUGAAAUCUGGUACUUUCAGUGCCCGAGUUGUAAUUUGUAGAAUUUGUCUUUGAUUAGGUCCUUGUCUAUGUUCCUUGGAACAGGACGUCAUAGAGGGUGAGAAUCCCGUUUGGCGAGGAUACCUUUUCUCUGUAAGACUUUUUCGAAGAGUCGAGUUGUUUGGGAAUGCAGCUCAAAGUGGGUGGUAAAUUCCAUCUAAAGCUAAAUAUUGGCGAGAGACCGAUAGCGAACAAGUACAGUGAUGGAAAGAUGAAAAGAACUUUGAAAAGAGAGUGAAAAAGUACGUGAAAUUGUUGAAAGGGAAGGGCAUUUGAUCAGACAUGGUGUUUUUUGCAUGCACUCGCCUCUCGUGGGCUUGGGCCUCUCAAAAAUUUCACUGGGCCAACAUCAAUUCUGGCAGCAGGAUAAAUCAUUAAGAAUGUAGCUACUUCGGUAGUGUUAUAGCUUUUUGGAAUACUGUUAGCCGGGAUUGAGGACUGCGCUUCGGCAAGGAUGUUGGCAUAAUGGUUAAAUGCCGCCCGUCUUG